Molecule: ribosomal RNA, 447 nt
Filed under: uncultured Methanosaeta sp.
Lineage: Archaea; Methanobacteriati; Methanobacteriota; Methanomicrobia; Methanotrichales; Methanotrichaceae
Description: bacterial SSU rRNA
Rfam family: Archaeal small subunit ribosomal RNA
Source: RNAcentral
AGCUUGCGGUUUAAUUGGAUUCAACGCCGGAAAUCUUACCGGGACCGACAGCAAUAUGAAGGCCAGGCUGAAGACUUUGCCGGAUUAGCUGAGAGGUGGUGCAUGGCCGUCGUCAGUUCGUACUGUGAAGCAUCCUGUUAAGUCAGGCAACGAGCGAGACCCACGCCCACAGUUGCCAGCGUACUCUCUGGAGUGACGGGUACACUGUGGGGACCGCCGCUGCUAAAGCGGAGGAAGGAAUGGGCAACGGUAGGUCAGUAUGCCCCGAAUAUCCCGGGCUACACGCGAGCUACAAUGGUUGGUACAAUGGGUAUCUACCCCGAAAGGGGACGGGAAUCUCCUAAAACCAAUCUUAGUUCGGAUUGAGGGCUGCAACUCGCCCUCAUGAAGCUGGAAUCCGUAGUAAUCGCGUUUCAACAGAACGCGGUGAAUACGUCCCUGCUCCUU